Long non-coding RNA from Cyprinus carpio (common carp), 2461 nucleotides. The record is from Ensembl. NCBI's taxonomy places the organism in Eukaryota, Metazoa, Chordata, Actinopteri, Cypriniformes, Cyprinidae.
AUGUUGCAUGAGAAACUUUGUAGCCUAGAGAAAAGCGAACCGCAUCCACAAACCACGCUCUGCUCUGUUGUGUGUACAGGGACGUGUUCUCAUUUUAACGCUCUCUCCUGUGACGAGUGUCUGCAGCUGGGGCCACGGUGCGCCUGGUGCACACUACAGAAUUUCACCGACUUUUUCUCAAUCAAUGAGAGAUGCGACACACCAGAGGCUCUUCUUCAGAAAGGAUGCUCCGGCAAAUUUGUGGAGUUCCCCGUCACGAAUGUCAAAGUGCUGAAGGAUCAAGGCUUAGGAAAGAGUGCCAACCACACUAAUGUUUCAUACGUCGCACCGCAGAAGAUGCGCCUCCAGCUAAGGCCAGGAAGUCAGCUGACCUUUCAAAUUCAAGUGCAGGAACCGGAGGACCAUCCGGUGGACAUUUAUUACCUGAUGGACCUGUCAGCAUCUAUGAUUGAUGAUCUGAAAAUGAUCAAAGACUUGGGUUCGAUGCUCUCCAAAGAGAUGGCUACGCUUACCAGCAAAUUCAGAUUAGGAUUCGGUUCCUUUGUGGAGAAACCAGUUCUGCCUUUCAUCAAAAUAACACACGAAGAGUUGGCCAAUCCCUGCAGGAGUGUUGAUUAUGAAUGUCUCCCAACAUUUGGAUACAGACAUCUUCUGUCAUUAACAAGCAGUAUUGACAAGUUUAAUGAGAUCAUCUCAAAGCAGCAGGUAUCGGCGAACAUCGACGUGCCAGAGGGCGGUUUUGACGCCAUCAUGCAGGCUGCGGUGUGCGGGGACAGGAUUGGCUGGCAGAACAAUUCCAUGAAGCUGCUGGUGUUUGUGAGCGAUGCAGAUUCUCAUUUUGGGAUGGACAGCAAAAUGUCCGGCAUCGUUGUCCCCAAUGACGGAGAGUGUUACCUGGACGACAACAAUGAGUAUUCAAUGACUGCCCAUCUGGAGUAUCCAACAUUAGGGCAGCUUGUCGAAAAACUGGUUGAAAACAAUAUCCUGCUCAUAUUCGCUGUGACCGACAAUCAGAGACAGAACUACGAGAAUUAUGCAAGUCUGAUUCCUGGUGCUACUGUGGGGGUGUUGGCAUCCGAUUCAAGGAACAUUCUGGAGCUCAUCAUGACCUCAUAUAAGGAACUGAGGUCUGAGAUUGAUCUGGAGGUUCUGGGCAACACUGAGGGUCUGCAGAUUUCCUUCACAGCACUCUGUCAGGAUGGGACCAUCAUCCCUGGAUGUAAAAACUGCUCCAAUGUCAAAGCUGGUGAUGUGGUAUCUUUUAAUGUUACGGUCGAGUUAAAAGGCUGUCUUGCUGGUCCACGACGGUUUUCCUUGCGCCCUGUGGGUUUCCAAGAUGCCCUGGAGAUCGAACUGGAGUCUCAGUGUGUGUGUGACUGUCAUCAAACCCCUGAAGCGAGCAGUGCCUUCUGCAGCCGAGGGCGUGGGGCGCUGGAGUGCGGCACCUGUGUGUGUGAUCCAGGCUUUGUGGGGCCCAAGUGUGAACAAAUUUUAAUGUGUGAUUAUAUGUGCAGCGGACUGGGCGAGUGUUUCUGCGGACAGUGUGUGUGCCACCCGUCCAGUUUCGGUCGUGUGUAUGGGCCGUACUGCGAGUGCGACAACUUUUCCUGCCUCAGGUUCAGAGGAGAGCUUUGCGGAGGUCAGUACCCAGUUUGCUGUACUCAGGAGGAUAUGGGACAAAGGUGUGUGUGUGGGAAGUGCGAGUGCACCGUUCCCGGAGCCUCAGGAGAGUGGUGCCAAAGGUGCCCAACCUGUGGAGAUAUCUGUAGCUUACCCAGUCGGGCGACAUUUUGCACCUUACAGAGUGAGGACCACUGUCUACUGUCUUUCAGCUUGGUGGACAGUGAUCAUGGCAGCAUCAUUUACAACACCAAGCUUCAUGACUGCCCUGAGCCUCCAAACGCUCCGUUGAUCGCUCUGGGCGUGUGCAUGUCUGUCCUCAUUAUUGGCAUUAUGCUCCUUGUGAUCUGGAAGUUUCUUGUUUCUGUCCAUGACCGGAAAGAGGUUGCCAAGUUUGAGGCAGAGAAGGCAAAAGCAAAAUGGCAGUCGGGCACGAAUCCUCUUUUCAGGAGCUCGACAUCAACAUUUAAAAAUGUGACCUACAAAAGCAGAGGGCAGCAAAAUACUUAUAUUUCUUAGGUCUACUGACCAAUUUUGUGUGUUGAAACACAGAAAGUAGGCUUCUUUUUACAAGGAGCGAUUACUGUUUUUUUUCCUUAUUUUCUUGUACUGUACAAGUGAGACACUGUGUGUGUGUGUGGGUGUGCGCAUGUUUAUGUGGUUUAUGAGGACACAAAUUUGUAUAAUGACAUGGGUGUGACACAGAUAUUACAAUAUGAAGGUGAUUUAUGAGGACACUACCAGUGUCGCAGUAAUUCAAAAGGCUUAAAAAAAAACAUACAAAAUGGUGUGUUUUUGAAAAUCUAAUAAAGUACAAAGUUUUCUGUGAGGGGUAUGUUUA